ACUCCUGCGGGAGGCAGCAGUGGGGAAUAUUGGACAAUGGGCGCAAGCCUGAUCCAGCCAUGCCGCGUGAGUGAUGAAGGCCCUAGGGUUGUAAAGCUCUUUCACCGGUGAAGAUAAUGACGGUAACCGGAGAAGAAGCCCCGGCUAACUUCGUGCCAGCAGCCGCGGUAAUACGAAGGGGGCUAGCGUUGUUCGGAUUUACUGGGCGUAAAGCGCACGUAGGCGGACUAUUAAGUCAGGGGUGAAAUCCCGGGGCUCAACCCCGGAACUGCCUUUGAUACUGGUAGUCUUGAGUUCGAGAGAGGUGAGUGGAAUUCCGAGUGUAGAGGUGAAAUUCGUAGAUAUUCGGAGGAACACCAGUGGCGAAGGCGGCUCACUGGCUCGAUACUGACGCUGAGGUGCGAAAGCGUGGGGAGCAAACAGGAUUAGAAACCCCAGUAGUCC
This 444-nucleotide ribosomal RNA is filed under the name uncultured organism. Its description in RNAcentral is "partial 16S ribosomal RNA". It matches the Rfam family "Bacterial small subunit ribosomal RNA", at positions 335 to 796 of the family's 1533-position model. The record is from RNAcentral.